CAUUUGCCAAGCGCGUCUUCAUUAAUCAAGAACGAAAGUCAGAGGUUCGAAGGCGAUCAGAUACCGCCCUAGUUCUGACCGUAAACGAUGCCAACUAGCGAUCCGCCGGCGGCUCAACGGCCCUGGUGGGGAGCUUCCCGGAAACGAAAGUCUUCCGGUUCCGGGGGAAGUAUGGUUGCAAAGCUGAAACUUAAAGGAAUUGACGGAAGGGCACCACCAGGAGUGGAGCCUGCGGCUUAAUUUGACUCAACACGGGAAAACUCACCCGGCCCGGACACCGUGAGGAUUGACAGAUUGAUAGCUUUUUCAUGAUUCGGUGGUUGGUGGUGCAUGGCCGUUCUUAGUUCGUGGAUCGAUUUGUCUGGUUUAUUCCGAUAACGAGCGAGACUCCAGCCUACUAACUAGUACGGGCAUUGCCUCUGUGCCCGGCACUUCUUAGAGGGAUUGGCUGCGUCUAGCGGCACGAAACGGAGCAAUAACAGGUCUGUGAUGCCCUUAGAUGUCCGGGGCUGCACGCGCGCUACACUGGCAAAGGCAGCGUGCUUGUCCGUCUCCGAAAGGAGCCGGUAAACCCUUGAAAAUUUGCCGUGAUUGGGAUCGGAAAUUGCAAUUAUUUUCCGUGAACGAGGAAUUCCUAGUAAGUGCGAGUCAUCAGCUCGCGUUGAUUACGUCCCUGCCCUUUGUACACACCGCCCGUCGCUGCCUAGAACUGAGCCAUUUCGAGAAUAUUCGGGAUCGCUGGUUGCGCGCCUCUCGGGGCACGCCUCCGGCCAGAGAACGAACGUAAUCGCAGUGGCUUGAACCGGGCAAAAGU
This 814-nucleotide ribosomal RNA is filed under the name Mesocriconema sp. g XZ-2021. Its description in RNAcentral is "SSU rRNA". It matches the Rfam family "Eukaryotic small subunit ribosomal RNA", at positions 952 to 1789 of the family's 1831-position model. The record is from RNAcentral. Lineage: Eukaryota; Metazoa; Nematoda; Chromadorea; Rhabditida; Criconematidae.